UUCCUGCUUCCACAAUCACUAGCUAAAUGUGACAUCAUGCAUAUAUAUAUAUAUAUAUAUAUAUAUAUAUAUAUAUAUAUAUAUAUGCAUGAUGUCACAUUUAGUUAGUGUUCAUGAAAGCAAUAA
Pelobates cultripes (western spadefoot toad) is the source of this 126-nucleotide non-coding RNA. Lineage: Eukaryota; Metazoa; Chordata; Amphibia; Anura; Pelobatidae. The record is from the annotation of a GenBank genome assembly.